Molecule: long non-coding RNA, 898 nt
Filed under: Salvia miltiorrhiza (redroot sage)
Lineage: Eukaryota; Viridiplantae; Streptophyta; Magnoliopsida; Lamiales; Lamiaceae
Description: long non-coding RNA (SMIL_LNC007264)
Source: RNAcentral
UGGUGACGUUGAUCUCACAGAGAAGCAGGAGUUCACUAUUGUCAUGAAAUCUCCAUUGCGCGCCACCAUCUCUCCCAGAAACUGACCUCCACUCCACCCUUUAUAAAAAUGCAUUUUCUACUUUAAUUGCUUCAAAUUUCAUAUAUACACAUUGAAAACAAAAGAUGCGUAUCUGACAAAAUGAAUAUAACACGAGCUUUUUUAUGUUAGUAGUAUUUCCCAUAGCCAAAUAGCAAAGGAUUAAAAACCAUAUAUCAGGAUUGCAUACACGUGCACGACCACUUUGCCUCUUGAAAUUUAAUCUCAGGAUAAAUUAAAUAGCAUUAGUGAAGACUGUACUAAUAGUAAAGUGAUAUUGCUUUGUAUUCCACAGAUGAGAAUGAAUCCACAGAAUCUUAUUCAGAAGCAGGAUCAAAAAUCAAAACGAAACCUUCUACCUCUUAACGAAUUCCUGUCUUGAAAAUUAUGCCCAAUUGUUUCGCAAACAAAAUCUUAUUAUGUAUAAAACUUAAUUAGUAAAAAAACAAUGGCAAAGUUAAUAAAUUAUAAUUGAAUGAUUGCCAUCAAAGUUUGUAAGGCGUUGGAUUAUCUGAGCUUGGCAGAGGAGAUUAAGAGAUAGGAAGGUUUUGUGUCGUGGAGGGGAGUGGCGUACGAGGUGUGAUCAGGGCCAACAUCCGUUGAGGAAAAUCCUGACCAUUACGAACAUCAACAUACCUGAGCUUGCAGCGAAUGUUCACUAUUGCUCCAGACGGCAGGAAGUGAACCCAUUGCCCAAAUCAAUACCUAAAAACCAUAUAUCAGCUUUCAAUUUAAUCUGACCCUAAAUAAUUAGCAUUAAUUAUUGAAGACACUACCAAUAUUGGAAAAAGUGGAGAUCAUUCAACAAUAUAUAUAUUGC